UCGUGUCUCGGACAGGAUGGCAGAG
RNAcentral lists this non-coding RNA (25 nucleotides) under Mus musculus (house mouse). The record is from RNAcentral. Lineage: Eukaryota; Metazoa; Chordata; Mammalia; Rodentia; Muridae.